Molecule: ribosomal RNA, 615 nt
Filed under: uncultured fungus
Lineage: Eukaryota; Fungi
Description: eukaryotic LSU rRNA
Rfam family: 5.8S ribosomal RNA (bases 184-338)
Source: RNAcentral
UGUUGCUGGUCUCCAAACCGGGGGCACAUGCACACUCUGUUUACACAUCCACCCACACCUGUGCACCCUCUGUAGUUCUAUGGCCUGGGUGGCUUUGUCUCCCCUCGCUGUGGUUCUACGUCUUUACACACACACUGCUACAAAGUCUCAUGGAAUGUUGCCGCGUUUAACGCAAUACAAUACAACUUUCAGCAACGGAUCUCUUGGCUCUCGCAUCGAUGAAGAACGCAGCGAAAUGCGAUAAGUAAUGUGAAUUGCAGAAUUCAGUGAAUCAUCGAAUCUUUGAACGCACCUUGCGCCCUUUGGCUAUUCUGAAGGGCAUGCCUGUUUGAGUAUCAUGAACACCUCAACUCCUCAUGGUUUGCCAUGAUGAGCUUGGACUUUGGGGGUCUUGCUGGCCUAUGGUUGGCUCCUCUCAAAUGGAUCAGCUUGCCAGUGUUUGGUGGCAUCACAGGUGUGAUAAAUAUCUACGCUUGUGGCUUUCCACCAUGUAACCUUUAGCAAUGAAGGUUUGCUGCGGCUCACAAAUGUCCCUCCUCUGCGAGGACAGCUUUUCAAAUGUUUGAUCUCAAAUCAGGUAGGAUUACCCGCUGAACUUAAGCAUAUCAAUAAGCG